CACGUAGGGUGCGAGCGUUGUCCGGAAUUAUUGGGCGUAAAGAGCUCGUAGGCGGUGUGUCGCGUCGGCCGUGAAAACCUGCAGCUUAACUGUGGGCUUGCGGUCGAUACGGGCAUCACUGGAGUUCGGCAGGGGAGACUGGAAUUCCUGGUGUAGCGGUGAAAUGCGCAGAUAUCAGGAGGAACACCGGUGGUGUAGACGGCUCUCUGGACCGUAACUGACGCUGAGACACGAAAGCGUGGGGAGCAAACAGG
Molecule: ribosomal RNA, 254 nt
Filed under: uncultured bacterium
Lineage: Bacteria
Description: partial 16S ribosomal RNA
Rfam family: Bacterial small subunit ribosomal RNA
Source: RNAcentral